AAGUCGUAACAAGGUUUCCGUAGGUGAACCUGCGGAAGGAUCAAUACCGAGUUUUGAAGUGGGUCUUUGAGCUGGCCGUCAAGGCGGCAUCGUGCUCGGGCCCCGCUCCAUCCACUCAACCCCUGUGCACUCUCGAACUUCGUGUUGGUGUGGGAUGACCACCCGCACGGGUUCGUCUUUAUUACAAACGAUUAUAUUGUCAUUGUCGAACGUGGAAGCCCUUAGGGCGGAAACUCAAUACAACUUUCAACAACGGAUCUCUUGGCUCUC
RNAcentral lists this unclassified non-coding RNA (270 nucleotides) under air metagenome. Its description in RNAcentral is "partial contains small subunit ribosomal RNA, internal transcribed spacer 1, and 5.8S ribosomal RNA". The stretch from base 1 to 46 matches the Rfam family "Eukaryotic small subunit ribosomal RNA", at positions 1786 to 1831 of the family's 1831-position model. The record is from RNAcentral.